RNAcentral lists this long non-coding RNA (223 nucleotides) under Lathyrus oleraceus (garden pea). RNAcentral's name for it is "Pisum sativum (pea) long non-coding RNA (PSAT_LNC030883)". Lineage: Eukaryota; Viridiplantae; Streptophyta; Magnoliopsida; Fabales; Fabaceae. The record is from RNAcentral.
CAAACUUCAUGAAGAGGAUUUGAGAUCCCUCUGAGAAGUCCAAGAAGGCUAAGAAAGAAAGGCUGGGAGAAUCCUCUGGGUCAAGACCUCUAGUCCCUCUGGCUGGCUCUCCAAGCAAGUUUGUACCUCUCUCUCGCUCUGUUAAAAUAAAAACUCUUGCUUCUUCUCUUCCCCAAACCACUCCAAUAUACACCACCUCUAAAACCCCUCCCUCAACCACCAG